Molecule: ribosomal RNA, 253 nt
Filed under: uncultured bacterium
Lineage: Bacteria
Description: partial 16S ribosomal RNA
Rfam family: Bacterial small subunit ribosomal RNA
Source: RNAcentral
UACGUAGGUGGCAAGCGUUGUCCGGAUUUACUGGGCGUAAAGAGCGCGCAGGCGGUUGGAUACGUCGAAUGUUAAAGCCCCCGGCUCAACUGGGGAGGGUCAUUCGAUACUGUCCGACUCGAAGGCAGGAGAGGGAAGCGGAAUUCCCGGUGUAGUGGUGAACUGCGUAGAUAUCGGGAGGAACACCAGUGGCGAAGGCGGCUUUCUGGCCUGUUCUUGACGCUGAGGCGCGAAAGCCAGGGGAGCAAACGGG